GUCCUUAACUGACGCUAAAGCUCGAAAGUGCGGGUAUCGAACAGGAUUAGAUACCCUGGUAGUCCGCACGGUAAACGAUGGAUGCCCGCUGUUGGCGAUAUAUUGUCAGCGGCCAAGCGAAAGCGUUAAGCAUCCCACCUGGGGAGUACGCCGGCAACGGUGAAACUCAAAGGAAUUGACGGGGGCCCGCACAAGCGGAGGAACAUGUGGUUUAAUUCGAUGAUACGCGAGGAACCUUACCCGGGCUUGAACUGCCAGCGAACGAUUCAGAGAUGAUGAGGCCCUUCGGGGCGCUGGUGGAGGUGCUGCAUGGUUGUCGUCAGCUCGUGCCGUGAGGUGCCGGCUUAAGUGCCAUAACGAGCGCAACCCCUUUCUCCAGUUGCCAUCAGGUAGAGCUGGGCACUCUGGAGACACUGCCACCGUAAGGUGUGAGGAAGGUGGGGAUGACGUCAAAUCAGCACGGCCCUUACGUCCGGGGCUACACACGUGUUACAAUGGGUGGUACAGAGAGUCGGUUGCUGGCAAUAGCGAUCCAAUCCUAAAAGCCAUCCUCAGUUCGGAUUGGGGUCUGCAACCCGACCCCAUGAAGCUGGAUUCGCUA
RNAcentral lists this ribosomal RNA (601 nucleotides) under uncultured bacterium. RNAcentral describes it as "bacterial SSU rRNA". It matches the Rfam family "Bacterial small subunit ribosomal RNA", at positions 732 to 1337 of the family's 1533-position model. The record is from RNAcentral.